RNAcentral lists this ribosomal RNA (246 nucleotides) under Escherichia coli 1-250-04_S4_C1. RNAcentral's name for it is "partial 23S ribosomal RNA". The record is from RNAcentral. Lineage: Bacteria; Pseudomonadati; Pseudomonadota; Gammaproteobacteria; Enterobacterales; Enterobacteriaceae.
UUAAGAAGCCUCGAGUUAUCGCUCGAGGUUUUUUUUCGUCUACAUUUCUAUUAUUGCUAAAAUCGCAAAAAUCCUCUGCGUUUUACGCUCUUUUUCCGCAACAGUCUGAAGCCCAUAAUCACCUCAGUUAACGAAAAUAGCAUUAUAAGAGGCAUAUUAUGGCUAUCCCUGCAUUUGGUUUAGGUACUUUCCGUCUGAAAGACGACGUUGUUAUUUCAUCUGUGAAAACGGCGCUUGAACUUGGUU